GACGAACGCUGGCGGCGUGCUUAACACAUGCAAGUCGAACGGAAAGGCCCUUCGGGGUCCUCGAGUGGCGAACGGGUGCGUAACACGUGGGUGAUCUGCCCUGCACUUUGGGAUAAGCCUGGGAAACUGGGUCUAAUACCGAAUAGGACCACGCGCUUCAUGGUGUGUGGUGGAAAGCUUUUGCGGUGUGGGAUGGGCCCGCGGCCUAUCAGCUUGUUGGUGGGGUAAUGGCCUACCAAGGCGACGACGGGUAGCCGGCCUGAGAGGGUGACCGGCCACACUGGGACUGAGAUACGGCCCAGACUCCUACGGGAGGCAGCAGUGGGGAAUAUUGCACAAUGGGCGCAAGCCUGAUGCAGCGACGCCGCGUGAGGGAUGACGGCCUUCGGGUUGUAAACCUCUUUCAAUAGGGACGAAGCGAAAGUGACGGUACCUAUAGAAGAAGCACCGGCCAACUACGUG
RNAcentral lists this ribosomal RNA (462 nucleotides) under uncultured bacterium. RNAcentral's name for it is "partial 16S ribosomal RNA". It matches the Rfam family "Bacterial small subunit ribosomal RNA", at positions 28 to 507 of the family's 1533-position model. The record is from RNAcentral.